GGUUAGAGACCCGGAAGGCUGGGAGGGGUGGGCAUCGGCGGAGACGGAGCAGGGCCGGGAGGGACCACGUGCCCCCGGAGCUAGGGGGAGGAAGCGAAAGAGAAUUAGAUUUGAGGGGAGGUGGGAAGGGGAAAGAGAAGGCAGGGAACGACUUGGUUUACUCCAGUUGUAGGGGCCGCCCCAGACAUCUGGGGUCGUGGAUGGAAGCCUAAACUAAGUUCUUUUCUUCUCAAGUGCGCCCUCUCCCCCAGGCGUUACUUGCGCGCUCCGCUGUCUUUGCUAAAGGAAGUGGGAGCUGCGCCUCGGUUCCAUCCCGGGUCGGGACACCCCCUUGUGCCCACCUAGCUCUGUUUCCACUGCGGGGAGUUCCUGCCGGGCCCUGGGGCCUGGACUGGCUGGGGUGACGCGUUCCGGAGGCUCAGCGGAAAGCGGGAGGGAACCAUGGGUGGAAAAGGAAAAGGACGCAUUAGACAAAUCUGAUUCAACCCUUCUGACCAAGUCCCCGCAACAGGAUAAGAAAAUUCAGUUGAAAAUCUGAAAUACAUUUGUUUUUCCAUCAACAUGGAUUUUUGUCAUGAGCAGAAUUCAAGACAACAAAUUACUGACAAUAAGCUCUCUGAAGUCACGGACCAUAUUUCUUUCAUUCUCUACAUACCCAGCACCUAGUAGUACCUGGAACGUUAUCGACUCUCAGUGGCUAUUUGACAAAUGCAGGACCUGAAUCCAAGCUACUUUGGGCAUACCUCGGAGAUAUUGUGGAUUUGGUUCCAGACCACUGUAAUGAAGCCAAUCGCAAUAAACAAAGUCGUAAUCAUUUUUUCUGGUAGAGUGUCUUGCCUUCAAUUUGUGAAGAAUGCAACAUCUAUGAAGCAAAAUAAAGUGAAAAGCGAUAAAAGGAGGUAUGCUUAUAUAUGAGACCUGUUUUCAAAGACGAUAUUCAAUAUCAGCAGCCUGAACAGACAAAACACUCAUGUUGUCUCCCUGGCCUAUACCACAGCUGGACCUCAGUGAUACUGUGAUUUAUAUAAAGAAAUAGAUAUUUGGUCUUCCUCCACGUUUCCUGGCAUGAAACACCUAAAGCCUUUGUAAUUUCCUGAGUUAUAGGGGCAUCUUUAUUUUUCACCUUCUGAAAUAGUUCCAGAAUGAAAUUGGGUGUCCUUUGUUAUUCAUAAUAAACCCCUUUCAACUACAUCUGAGUUUAUGUUAAUGUGAUGACUUUUGGAAAGUCCCUAAGGAUAGGGGGUCUGGUUGCCAGGGGAAGUAGCUAUGUAAUUAGAGGGUUAGAACUUUUAGCCCUACCCCCACUCUGACAUCUGGGGAAGGGAAAGGGAUUGGAGGUUGAAUCAAUGGCCAACGAUUUAAUCAAUCAUGCCUUCAUAAUGAAGCCUCCAUAAAAACCCAAAAAAGACAGGUUUGGAGAGCUUCCAUUUAGUGGACACGUGGAGGUGCUGAGUGUGGUGAGCCUGAGUAGGACAUGGAACUUCAAUGCCCCCUUUCUCCAUUACCUUGCCCCAUGCAUCUCUUCUAUCUGGCUAUUUCUGUGUUAUUAUCCUUUCAUAAUAAACCCGUAAUCCAGUGAGUAAACUUUUUCCAAGUUCUGUGAGCUGGUUGAGCAAAUUAAUUGAACCCAAGGAAUUGAACCUCCAAUUUACAGUUGGUCAGUCAAAAGCACAGGUGACAACCUGAACUUGUGAUUGAUGUCUGAAGUGGGGUGAGGAGCCCUCAACCUGUGGGAUCUGACGCUCUCUCCUGUAGUAUCAAAGCUGAGUUAAAUUGGAGGACAGCCAGUUGGUGGGUGCAGAAUUGUUUGGUGUGGGGAAGAUACUGCAGUACACAUCUGGUGAUCAGAAGCGAGAGUAGUGCUGUGAACAAACAGAAAACAGAAGAGUGUUUUUUCCUAAACAGGCUCUAAAGAGGUGCAGUUCUGCAAUGCCCGAGGCAGUAGUUCUCAACUUUAGAGUGCAUUAGAACCGCGUGCAAGACUGAAUCACCCAAACUGGUGGACUCCAUCCCCAAAAUUUCUGAUUUAGUAAGUCUGGGAUAUCAUCUGAAGAUUUGAAUUUCUAACAAGUGCUCACUUGAUGUUGAUGGUACUGGUUCCUGCAACAUUAAGAACUACUAGAUCUGAUCUCUUAGAAGAUGGUUGCAGCCUAAGAUAAGGACAGAGCUAAAAUAAAGAUAACUAGGCAUCACAGUGAUACAUGGUGAUAUGUCAUGCAAAAUUUCAAA
This is a long non-coding RNA of Rhinolophus ferrumequinum (greater horseshoe bat), 2229 nucleotides long. RefSeq lists it as uncharacterized. The record is from RefSeq and is a predicted model, not a curated record. Lineage: Eukaryota; Metazoa; Chordata; Mammalia; Chiroptera; Rhinolophidae. The transcript has 5 exons.